CCACCAAACAAAAGGUAUGCAGGUAACCACUGGAGCAGGCACAGUUUAACAGAGUGAGUAAAUCACAAGAUGGUGCCCACAUCCCAACACUGAACAUGGUGUGACACAGCUUCACAUUCUCCCUAAGCAAUAUAGUAAGUCAUGGAAUACACCUUGCAUGUGUUAUUGACUAUUAUUAUAUUUAAUCGUGUGGAUAAUUGUCUUUUUCAAACACAAUGGACAAAGCAUGCUAUCAAAAAGUUUUCUUGGUGUAAGCAAUUUUUACAAAAUGACAUACCACUGAUUUAAAAUACACAUUUUGGGUAGCCUACGUGCAAAAUGUGUCAUUCUCAUUAUCUUUAGUAAUUCAGAUUUGUGGCUGGUAAACAAGGCUACUCCUAAGCUUGUGAUGUUUGUUGGAAAUUUGACUACUACAUUUUUUAUCCUCAUAUUUUACAUUUUAAUAUUAGGUGCACGUGUGGACCCUGUGAACUAUACCUACUGAAAAUGUCAACACGCUGCAGGGAGAUACCACAGGUCAGAAGACAGCUGCAGCAGCAGAGCAGUCCAUCGUGCAUGGCAGAGCGUCCUGGGCUGGACCCUGUUUGCCUCAACGUGUUCUCCCUACAGAAUGCAUUCAACACAGACCCAGCUGACUGACCCUUUACGGCUAAGUGGAAGAGAACAAGCACACCUUUGUCAGUCGCUUAAUGUUCCACACAUGAGCUGGUCCCAGUGGUGGUUCUGCCUGCGUGGAGUUUCCUAGCGCCUAAG
This is a long non-coding RNA of Monopterus albus (swamp eel), 753 nucleotides long. RefSeq lists it as uncharacterized. The record is from RefSeq and is a predicted model, not a curated record. The transcript has 3 exons. NCBI's taxonomy places the organism in Eukaryota, Metazoa, Chordata, Actinopteri, Synbranchiformes, Synbranchidae.